AGCCAUGCGAGUCGAAUGUAGCAAUACAUGGCGUACUGCUCAGUAACACGUGGACAACCUACCCUUAGGUCGGGGAUAAACCCGGGAAACUGGGUAUAAUACCCGAUAGUGCUCGACUGCUGGAAUGCAUCGAGUACUAAAGCUCCGGCGCCUAAGGAUGGGUCUGCGGCCUAUCAGGUAGUAGUGGGUGUAGCGUACCUACUAGCCUACGACGGGUACGGGUUGUGAGAGCAAGAGCCCGGAGAUGGAUUCUGAGACACGAAUCCAGGCCCUACGGGGUGCAGCAGGCGCGAAAACUUUACAAUGCUGGAAACAGCGAUAAGGGGACCUCGAGUGCCAGGUUACAAAUCUGGCUGUCGUGAUGCCUAAAAAGCAUUGCAUAGCAAGGGCCGGGCAAGACCGGUGCCAGCCGCCGCGGUAACACCGGCGGCUCGAGUGGUAACCGUUAUUAUUGGGUCUAAAGGGUCUGUAGCCGGCCGGAUAAGUCUCUUGGGAAAUCUGGCAGCUUAACUGUCAGGCUUUCAGGGGAUACUGUCUGGCUCGAGGCCGGGAGAGGUGAGAGGUACUUCAGGGGUAGGGGUGAAACCUUGUAAUCCUUGAAGGACCACCAGUGGCGAAGGCGUCUCACCAGAACGGACCUGACGGCAAGGGACGAAAGCUAGGGGCACGAACCGGAUUAGAUACCCGGGUAGUCCUAGCCGUAAACGAUACUCGCUAGGUGUCGGCCACGGUGCGACCGUUGUCGGUGCCGUAGGGAAGCCGUGAAGCGAGCCACCUGGGAAGUACGGCCGCAAGGCUGAAACUUAAAGGAAUUGGCGGGGGAGCACCACAACGGGUGGAGCUUGCGGUUUAAUUGGACUCAACGCCGGAAAG
RNAcentral lists this ribosomal RNA (873 nucleotides) under uncultured archaeon. RNAcentral's name for it is "bacterial SSU rRNA". It matches the Rfam family "Archaeal small subunit ribosomal RNA", at positions 47 to 925 of the family's 1478-position model. The record is from RNAcentral.